This is a long non-coding RNA of Dama dama (fallow deer), 1603 nucleotides long. RefSeq lists it as uncharacterized. The transcript has 4 exons. The record is from RefSeq and is a predicted model, not a curated record. Lineage: Eukaryota; Metazoa; Chordata; Mammalia; Artiodactyla; Cervidae.
UAUAUGAAAAUAGUGGUGUUAGUACCUGUUAAAAUUAUAGGUCAUUUACUUUUAGUUUUUAGUCUGUUUUCAUUUUCCACGUUUUUCAAAAUGAGUGCAUAUUUUUUUGUAAUACUAAAAAGGAUUACCACAGGAAUUAAUAUGUAUUAAACAUAACAAAUAACUUUUGGAAAUAGACCUGAAAAUUUAAACUCUGCCCAUCACCAGCUGUAGAACUGGGUAAAUUAAAGUGAUCUAACCUCUCCAACCCAGCUGGUUUUCUCACUUGAUACACGUGGACAGUAAAUUUCUUCUUUGUUAGGACUGAAUGAUGCCACAUGUAGGAACUCAGUUCGGUUCAGUUCAGUCACUCUGUCGACCCCAUGGACUGCAGCACGCCAGGCCUCCCUGUCCAUCACCAAUUCCUGGAGUUUACCCUAACUCAUGUCCAUUGAGUCAGUGAUGCCAUCCAACCAUCUCAUCCUCCGUCGUCCCCUUCUCCUCCUGCCCUCCACCUUUCCCAGCAUCAGGGUCUUUUCAAAUGAGUCAGCCCUUCGCAUCAGGUGACCAAAGUAUUGGAGUUUCAGCUUCAGCAUCAGUCCUUCCAAUGAACACCCGGGACUGAUCUCCUUUAGGAUGGACCGGUUGGAUCUCCUUGCAGUCCAAGGAACUCUCAAGAGUCUUCUCCAACACCACAGUUCAAAAGCAUCAAUUCUUUGGCGCUCAGCAUUCUUUACAGUCCAACUCGCACAUCCAUACAUGACUAAUGGAAAAACCAUAGCCUUGACUAGACGGACCUUUGUUGGCAGAGUAAUGUCUCUGCUUUUUAAUAUGCUGUCUAGGUUGGUCAUAACUUUCCUUACAAGGAGUAAGCGUCUUUUAAUUCCAUGCAACUCAGGCACAUUCAAUGAGGAUUGUUUCUUUCGCCAGCGAACCGAGCUCUGAGUUCAACCCUUCAUCUAAGGCUGUGUUGCUAUAAUCCCGCCUCCCGCGGACGCUGCAGAGGGGCGGGCCAGGGGUCCAGGCGGGUUCGCGGCGGCUGCAGCUGCCGGGGCUGAACCGCCGCCUCGGUUCGCCUACGCACCUCCGCUUUUGGCGUGAAGCUUUUGCCCGCCGGCCUCGGAAGGAUAACCUGUAGUCGCUCUCCAGGCUCCGCGACCGCUCGGAGGCAGAGUCACAGAUGGAAGGAGACUAGAUCCUGCCCAAUCAAUAUCAGAAUGCCUCUGACUGCUAGGCAUAAAUUUCUUCUCAGACUUUCCAGAAAACCUCACCCUUGGACUAAGAUCAAGAAAAGAAAACUCCAGGCUUUUCUCCGGACUUUUCUUCCAAGCUCCUUGUUAAGCCCUCAGACCCCUGCCCGAAGGGAGGUGAUGGUUGCAAAAGCAAAGACUGGCGUUUGGAGAAGCUCUUUGGGAUGUCAAAGCUGCAUACUGCCCCUCCUGCUGCCUUCCAAUUACUAUGCAUGAAAGUGACUUUCAAAAAUCCAGAUCUGAUCGUGUUACACACAAACUCCCACAGGUCUACACCGCCUGGCUCCUGUGCAUGUCAUCUAGGCACGUGAAGAAGAGGCAAGGUAUGAAGAGGUCACUGUGGACAGUGCAUUUUCUCUCCCAGCCUUCAGGCA